GCCUGUCUUUGCUAGGUUGGAGGGACCCCGACGAGACGCGCCGUACCGGGCUGAAGGAAAAGACGACGCACC
Molecule: non-coding RNA, 72 nt
Filed under: Streptomyces ambofaciens
Lineage: Bacteria; Bacillati; Actinomycetota; Actinomycetes; Kitasatosporales; Streptomycetaceae
Source: RNAcentral